UGCACAAUAUCCAGAGUGCCAUUAGAUAUGGCGCGUAGAAUGAAGGUAGGGAAUUAAGAGGAGUAACCCAGAAGGACUCUUCCUUCUGGGUGCUAAUAACUAAGAGGCAUUGGAAUAUAUGGCAUGAAUUAAUGGCAUGGAGGAGUUGGUUUCACAUGAAACUCUUUCAUGUGAAGAAGUUUAGGCACCUAAGAGACCUUGGAUGUGAGCCCUUUUAGAUUAGGUCAAGACAUCAUAUUCUAGAUUGGCUCAAAUAACUUUGGACUAAGCUUAAUUGAAAACUUGAGUUAAUUCAUGUGCUAGCAUAUCAAUUAAACUCGUAG
Molecule: long non-coding RNA, 323 nt
Filed under: Elaeis guineensis (African oil palm)
Lineage: Eukaryota; Viridiplantae; Streptophyta; Magnoliopsida; Arecales; Arecaceae
Description: long non-coding RNA (EGUI_LNC047101)
Source: RNAcentral